RNAcentral lists this unclassified non-coding RNA (237 nucleotides) under Vishniacozyma heimaeyensis. Its description in RNAcentral is "sequence contains 5.8S rRNA gene". The stretch from base 1 to 53 matches the Rfam family "5.8S ribosomal RNA", at positions 102 to 154 of the family's 154-position model. The record is from RNAcentral. Lineage: Eukaryota; Fungi; Basidiomycota; Tremellomycetes; Tremellales; Bulleribasidiaceae.
GAACGCACCUUGCGCCCUUUGGUAUUCCGAAGGGCAUGCCUGUUUGAGUGUCAUGAAACCUCACCCCACUUGGGUUUUUGCCCGAGCGGUGGUGGAUUGGGCGUCUGCCGUUAAUGGCUCGCCUGAAAAGCAUAAGCAACUUUGGAUGUAAUACGUUUCAUCCUUUCGAGUGGCUGACAACCCCACAUAUUUCAUGAUCUGGCCUCAAAUCAGGUAGGGCUACCCGCUGAACUUAAG